This 88-nucleotide transfer RNA is filed under the name Pseudomonadota bacterium. RNAcentral's name for it is "tRNA-Leu". It matches the Rfam family "tRNA". Rfam says of the family: Transfer RNA (tRNA) molecules are approximately 80 nucleotides in length. RNAcentral also lists the same sequence under 3 other names. The record is from RNAcentral. Lineage: Bacteria; Pseudomonadati; Pseudomonadota.
GCCCGGGUGGCGGAACUGGCAGACGCAUUGGACUUAAAAUCCAAUGGGGCGUUGCCCCGUGUGGGUUCGAUUCCCACCCCGGGCACCA